This 467-nucleotide ribosomal RNA is filed under the name uncultured bacterium. RNAcentral describes it as "partial 16S ribosomal RNA". It matches the Rfam family "Bacterial small subunit ribosomal RNA", at positions 28 to 507 of the family's 1533-position model. The record is from RNAcentral.
GACGAACGCUGGCGGUGUGCUUAACACAUGCAAGUCGAACGGUAAGGCCCUUUCGGGGGUACACGAGUGGCGAACGGGUGAGUAACACGUGAGUAACCUGCCCUCAUCUCUGGGAUAACAGUCGGAAACGGUUGCUAAUACUGGAUAUGAGCUUGCAAGGCAUCUUGUGGGUUGGAAAGAUUUUUUUGGUUGGGGAUGGACUCGCGGCCUAUCAGCUUGUUGGUGAGGUAGUGGCUCACCAAGGCUUCGACGGGUAGCCGGCCUGAGAGGGCGACCGGCCACAUUGGGACUGAGAUACGGCCCAAACUCCUACGGGAGGCAGCAGUGGGGAAUAUUGCACAAUGGACGGAAGUCUGAUGCAGCAACGCCGCGUGCGGGAUGACGGCCUUCGGGUUGUAAACAGCUUUCAAUUGUGACGAAGCUUUUUUGUGACGGUAGCAGUAGAAGAAGCACCGGCUAACUACGUG